Molecule: transfer RNA, 94 nt
Filed under: Streptomyces pilosus
Lineage: Bacteria; Bacillati; Actinomycetota; Actinomycetes; Kitasatosporales; Streptomycetaceae
Description: tRNA-Ser(gct)
Source: RNAcentral
CUCCUCCUGGGCUGGCCGCUGGUGCGCCGGGUGCUGCCCCGCAGGGGCGCCCGGACCUGAUCGAACGCCGGGUUCGACUCCCGGGGCGCGGCCC